Alligator mississippiensis (American alligator) is the source of this 3883-nucleotide long non-coding RNA. RefSeq lists it as uncharacterized. The transcript has 2 exons. NCBI's taxonomy places the organism in Eukaryota, Metazoa, Chordata, Crocodylia, Alligatoridae. The record is from RefSeq and is a predicted model, not a curated record.
CGUCCCCAGAACAUUAUGUUCCCUUUUGGGCGAUAUUCCCCAGAAAGCUCUCAUGGAGGGAAACAGAAAGCAAAGGGCUACCCUUCCGGCCUGUAAGAAGCAGGUCAAAUGGACUCCAGCACAUCCAGAAAAGAUUACAGCUGUACUUUUGUGUUAGGGAAGUAAUGCAAAAACACUCUGAAGGCAGAUGUGUAGGAAGGUACCAGCAAUCGAUGCUCUUGAACAAAGAAGAGACUUCCAGGAUGAGCUAAGAUAUGGAACAAACAACGCUGAUAAAUCCAUCCCCUGCCGCCGCACAGACACGGAUGGCCACUGCUAACACAAACAGACUGCUCGGGAGAGCUGAUGGGCUUGCUUUGAUUAUGCUCGGGAUAAGACUCGGUGCCCUUUGAUCCCGUGAUGUUUUUGGCGCCUGUGUUACUGUCUAGCAGCAGGGUGUAUUUUUCUAUCCCAAGGAGCGAGUGGACGCAGCUGCCUGGUGCUGAUUUAUAGUAGGAAGCGACCGGUAGGAAACCAACAAGUUUCUCACACAGUAAAAUUGCUGUAUUUUCACUUCCACAACCAGUGAAACGAUUCGAGGUCUGGGGGGUUUGGGUGGGGGGCGGAGGCCAGCAAGGCUUUUUCUAUACUUGGCAUGAAUCCCAGCGCAAGGUGAUUCAGAAACGAUGCUCGCAGCCUGCCACCCCUCUCCGUACAUUCGGAUUCAGAGGAGCAGACUGCGUUUGGAUUCAAUCUGGCUCCGGGGAUUUUUCAUUUUAAUGGCUCUGCUUUCUGCAGUGACACGAGCCUGUUCCUAGACUGCACUUUCCUGCAUUAGUCUUUCCGUUGCUCAGGGGUUUCCUUGCCGGCCUUGCAUUUGCAUUGUGCUGGGCUCAGAACGCACGUGUGCAUGUGUACGUGGGCACACGAGAGCCAGUCAGGCCUGGCGCACAGGCUGCAGGGGCCGUCUGAGACAGAGACCGUCUCUUUUAUUACUGCGGCAAGAAAACAGGAACGGAUCCAGAGGAGCAGGCAUGAAAGUCAGCUAUUCAGAGAGGAGAAGGAAGCACGCAGCAGAUGGCAUUUGAAUCCUGUGAUCGCACACAGCAUCCCCGUCACCAAUAAUUAACCCCUUUCUUGCACACGGAGGGACGGCCUGCCACUCAUCUCAGUUCUGUGGUUCCUCAGCCCAGAGACAAGAGGGACGGUACGUAUUGCUAUUAACCUCUGACCUGCCGCAGUUCGCAUGUGCAAAGCAUCUCUCAGACAUGAUAGCAGAGGGGCAGGUCUUUUCUUUUCCCUACUUCUUUUGUCUGUUCUGAGAUGUGCUGUCCAGCGGCCAGGGCUACAGGGGGCCGCUAAAUCCUCGGGGAGGGGGAAAAACCUCUCCAUUCAGCCAGGAUAAUCUGCAAAAUAACUACCGAGCGCAGAGUGAUUAUUCAGAGCCGAACCCCUCGGGCGGACAGAGGGUGAGGCUUCCAGGAUCUGCAGCUUGGAGGACACGACGCCUUGCAUGGGCGACUUUGGCACACACACACGAAUGGGAUCUCAUGGGCGAACAUCAAGAUGGAAGAAAUGCAGACGUUUUCAUGAAGGGUAAGCAAAACUGAUGGUACAACAUGAGAUUCUGUCAUACCAAGAAAGUGCUCCCCCACACACAACCCCAGCCAAUGACAGCAAAAAUAGCAUAACACCAACCCUGCAAAGGUGGGCAGCCCGUAGGGCAGGUCCACAACCAGGCACAACAUGGUUCUGUUCGGGGUCCAUCCAGAGCAAAGCAAUGACCAUUAGAUCCAUACCUCCCUGGACCCACCAAAUAAUCUUCAUUCUUUAGUAAUAAAAUAUAUUUAUUGGCUCCCAUGACAAAGCUUCCAAACAAGGAUCUGUCUUUAAUUUCAGCAAACUGGGACAUUUCCCUUACACCACGAUGAUAGGGAUUUAGGAAAGCUAUCCCUGCUCUAUGUCUUUCAUCAACUCAAGACCAAGAGGACUUUCCAUUUGGGACUUUUCCAGAAGAUACGAAAAUGGUUCUCUACAGCAUUUGGUUUCGCAAGAGUAGCCUGCAAAAGCAUCUGUUUGUCUUUUUUCACUGGGAUGCUCUCCAGAAGGGGGAGUUUUCCCUAUUCAGAGCUUUUAGCAUGUUUCCUGUAGAGAGAUUCAUUCAUUCAUUUCCUUCCACCACCCCAUGCUCCCAUUGUCAGUAUUGCCCUACAGAAUAUACAGCAUGCAUUUUUGUUUUCCUUAUUUUAACCAAAGGAUUCAAUUAAAUUUUUUUUCUACAUAAUAUUCCAUGAUUGGGUAAAUUAAAUUUAAAGCUACCCCCUCAUUAUGACUUUGCAAACAAAAACAUUAUUUCUAGGAAAAUGCAAACAUCUUGGCUUCCACCUUUUCAAUUUUGUAUCAUCAAGGAAAUUACAAGACAAUCAAAUCACUGGUAGAAAUAAAUCAAUUGGCUAUAUACUGGUAUACAUUUUUUCUAUAGGAACGUAUGGAAAUAUUGACAAUAUGAAGCCAAAAUGGGGAUAGGAACUGAACAGUAAACAUCUUCAGAUGACUGGAAAGGGACGAUGGGAACCAUCCAGAGGAACUCAAGACUGAAGAAAGUUUACUUACCCAUAACGGUCAGUCUUUGAGAGUGUCUACGAGUAGCAGUCUGCUCCCAGGCCAGGCUGAAGCAAUUGAUUAAACUUUGGCUAUCAUCCAAACACACACACACACACACACACACACACACACUUACUAUGUAAUAAUUAAAACACUUAAAUUAGCUUUGUAAGAGCUAUAGCAGAAACCCAAACAUUUGCUCCAAUAGAAAUACUAUGCAGGUAAACCCCAGAUUCCACCUUGGGUUAACACUACAGGCAGGCCUCAGACUUACGACACAAUCGGUUCCUGAAAACCACAUCGUAAGUCGAAACAUUGUAACUUGGAACUGAUUUUCCCAUAGGAAACAAUGUUAUAAAUGUGGGAUUGGUUCCUGAACCAAGGCCCGAUACCCUAUUUUCCCCAAUAAGAACCCAGAAUGUUGUACUCAAUCAAUUAUAGAUGAGUAAUAUAGCUACAUUAAUGUAUUUAUAUUGUAAACAGCAAUCAUAUUGAUUUGGAAGGACUUCUUUGAGGAGACUUUGCUGGACAUUUUGAAGGGCUCUUGGUUGGACUUUUUGAAGGGCUCUUAGCUGGAGUCUUCGCUGCAGGCUUUCCUGGAGUCUUGUCUGCUUUCUUAAAGAAAGUGUCCAAGGAAGUUUGGACAGAUGUUCUCCAGGGGGAUGGGCGAUGCAGCGAACUUGUUCACUGGCAUGGCAUCUCAUCGGAUCAAGCAUCAUAAAGUCAAAACUGAUGUCAGAAAGUUGAAACAGGGUGUCAAUUUAUAAAUGUUGUAAGUGCGAAACGUUGUAACUCGAAACCUUGUAAGUCGAGGACUGCCUAUAUUUAGGCUUAAGACCAUCAGACAUCCCAGCCAAAGCACACGCAUCUCUGCAUGUGCUAAACCAGUUCAACAAGCACCAAGUGGGAAAAGUAUUCCCCUUUCACAGAUGGUCAAAGGCUACAAAAAGUUUUUCGUGUUACAGGGGUGUAGGUUGUAGCCGCGUUGGUCUAAGGACAUAGGCAGACAAGGUUCUUUGGGUUUUUGAACCCGAAAGCUUGCUUAAUAAUUGUUUUCCAACUAUUAAAGUUGGUCUAAUAAAAGAUAUCAGAUUCACCCAAAGAACCUUGUCUACAAAAAGUUUUUGCAACUUUCCUAAUGCUUCAUCCUCUGCAAAUCCAACCUCAAAGCCAUCUUGGCAUCUAGAUCUGUGAAGACUCAUCUUACCCGGGCGACUGAGGUUUUGGAAAGAAAGGAAGGAGAUUGGUGUUCUGGUUCAGGUGGGAAGGGAACACUGCUCAGAUAAAGCACAUUACCCCG